Molecule: ribosomal RNA, 534 nt
Filed under: Schizocephala bicornis
Lineage: Eukaryota; Metazoa; Arthropoda; Insecta; Mantodea; Mantidae
Description: partial 16S ribosomal RNA
Rfam family: Bacterial large subunit ribosomal RNA
Source: RNAcentral
UCGCCUGUUUAUCAAAAACAUGGUUUCUUGUUUAUUUAAGAGAUCUGGCCUGCCCACUGAUUAUAUUAAAGGGCCGCAGUAUACUGACUGUGCAAAGGUAGCAUAAUCAUUAGUCUUUUAAUUGAGGACUGGUAUGAAUGGUCGGACAAGGUAAAAACUGUCUUAUGUAAAUUUUUGUUGAAUUUAUGUUUUAAGUAAAAAAACUUAAAUUCAAUUAAGGGACGAGAAGACCCUAUAGAGUUUUAUAAAUGUAAUUGUAAUUAAGUUAAUAGUAAAUUUUUAAUUAUUGUAAAAUUUAUUUAGUUGGGGCGAUUGGAAGAUAAAAUAAACUCUUCUUAAAGUUAAAUAUUUUAUGUAAAUAUAAGAUCCAUAAAUAGUGAUUAAAAGAUUAAAUUACCUUAGGGAUAACAGCAUUAUCUUUUUUGAGAGUUCAAAUUGAGAAAAGGGAUUGUGACCUCGAUGUUGGAUUAAGAUAAAUAUUGGGUGUAGGUGUUCAAUAAUUAAGUCUGUUCGACUUUUAAAAUCUUACAUGAU